UGAGGCGAACCGGGGGAACUGAAACAUCUAAGUACCCCGAGGAAAAGAAAUCAACCGAGAUUCCCCCAGUAGCGGCGAGCGAACGGGGAGCAGCCCAGAGCCUGAAUCAGUAUGUGUGUUAGUGGAAGCGUCUGGAAAGGCGCGCGAUACAGGGUGACAGCCCCGUACACAAAAAUGCACAUAUUGUGAGCUCGAUGAGUAGGGCGGGACACGUGGUAUCCUG
This 223-nucleotide ribosomal RNA is filed under the name Escherichia coli. Its description in RNAcentral is "partial 23S ribosomal RNA". It matches the Rfam family "Bacterial large subunit ribosomal RNA", at positions 175 to 436 of the family's 2925-position model. The record is from RNAcentral. Lineage: Bacteria; Pseudomonadati; Pseudomonadota; Gammaproteobacteria; Enterobacterales; Enterobacteriaceae.